This 30-nucleotide non-coding RNA is filed under the name Homo sapiens (human). Lineage: Eukaryota; Metazoa; Chordata; Mammalia; Primates; Hominidae. The record is from RNAcentral.
UCUGGAUGUGGCCCAGGCAGAAGGAAACUC